GGGUUCUCCUCAGCACAGACGCGGAGAGCAUCGCGAGGGCGGAGCUGCGUUCUCAUCUGCACAGAUUUCAGUGGUACUGCGAAGGCGGAGCAGAGUUCUCCUCAGAUGAUGAUUAUUCCCCACCUUCUAAGAGACAAAGACCAACGAGCCGCCACAGCCACCAGUCCCAGAACCCGCCAAUGCUGGGGAACGGAAAAUGAGGGAGUUCAACUCUGGCCCUCACAAUCCAGUGGAGGAGACGCAACUCAUCUGCCUCUGUCCCUCUGGGCACGCCUCGUGCCAGGUGCAUCUGUGGACAGGGGCCAUGCUCCUGGGCUUCCAAAGUUGGAGAAAGCUGCCAGGCUCAGGUCUGAAGGCCAGAAUUCUACAGUAAGUCCUACUGAGUCAAGGUGGGAGCAGGGUCGGUAGCUUCCGAGGCUCUGCGGGAGAAUCUGUUUCCUGGCCGUAGAGGUGGCCUGCACUCCUCAGCCUGUGCUGCCCGUCUCGAAUGACUGGAGUUUCCUGCUUCUGUCACUACACCUCCCACCCUCUCCAUCACCUGCUCUGCUCUUACAAGGAUCCGAAGAAAUGGAAUCAUCGUAUCGCUGAUCUACGUAAACAAACUGAAGAAUUGUCUGAAAGAAAAUAUGACAUGAACUUAUGAAUUCAAUAGGUGAAGAUUUACAACUUGAUAAAUCAACUUUGUCAGCUCGAGCUGUAAAAGCCAAAGGUCCGGUGAUGAUCCCAUACCCUUUUUUCCAGUCUCAUGUUGAAGAUUUUUAUGUAGAAGGCCUUCCCAAAGGAAUUUUUUUUUUUUUUUUUUUUUUGAGAUGGAGUUUUCACUCUUAUCGCCCAGGCUGGGGUGCAAUGGCACAACCUUGCUGGUCACUGCAACCUCUGCCUCCUGGGUUCAAGAAAUUCUCCUGCCUUAGCCUCCCAAGUCACUGGGAUUACAGGUGCCCACCACCACACCAGGCUAAUUUUUGUAUUUUUAGUGGAGAUGCGGUUUCACCAUGUUGGCCGGGCCAGUCUCGAACUCCUGACGUCAAGUGAUCUUCCCGCCUCGACUCCUGAUAUCAAGUGAUCUUCCCGCCUCGGCCUCCCAGAGUGCUGAGAUUACAGACGUGAACCCAUGCCUGGCCAGGAAUUUUGUUUUUUAGGAAGGCUUUCUACUAAUGGAAUUCCUGGCCUUGAGAGGAUGUUACUUUAGAAGGAAAGGAUUUUUUUGUUAUUAAAAGAGCCACCUAAGCUGAAGAUUCCCUUGAGAACAAGUACUGUCCCUAGUUUCCCAGUGCUGGAAUAUAGAAAAUGGAUGGACAACUGGACCUACCAUGAAAGACUUCUGAAUCCAGGAAGAGAAACUGACUGGGCAACAUGUUAUUCAGAAACAGGACCUUGCCCUGUCACUCAGGAUGGAGUUCAGUGGUCCUAUCAUGGCUCAUUAUAGCCUCAAACUCCCAGGCUCAAGCAAUCCUACCAUGUCAGCCUUCCCAGUAGCUGGAACUACAGGUAAGCAUCGUGACACUCAGUGAAUUUUGUUUUUAUUUUGUUGUAGAGAUGGGACCUCAGUAUGUUGCCAUGGCUGACCUUGAACUCCUGCACUCAAGGGAUUUUCCUACCCUGGCCUCCCAAAGUAUUGGUAUUACAGGCAUGAGCCAUUGUGCCCACCGUCUCUGGUUCUUAACCUUCUGCCUCCCUCUUCCAGUUUUAAAGAAUGCUUGUAAUUACAUGGGCUCUCCUAGAUACUCCAGGAUAAUCUUGUUUUAAGGUCAGCUGAUGAGCAACAUUAAUUUUAUCUGCACUCUUAAUUCCCCCUUCCUAUGUAAUUGUGCUGUGUAACAUAGGACAUGAGCAAUUGGUGGCGGUGGGGGUUAUUACUUUGGCCACCACAGUAACUAUUUUAUGCCAGGUACUCAGCUAAGCACUGGUGAAUUAAGCAUGAAUAACACACACUCCUUAAUCUCCAUCCAUUCAUGGGAGGAGCACUUCACCUGCCAUGCUCCUGAGAAUCUCGGGAGU
RNAcentral lists this long non-coding RNA (1998 nucleotides) under Homo sapiens (human). RNAcentral's name for it is "HSALNT0395476". The record is from RNAcentral. Lineage: Eukaryota; Metazoa; Chordata; Mammalia; Primates; Hominidae.